RNAcentral lists this ribosomal RNA (228 nucleotides) under uncultured bacterium. Its description in RNAcentral is "partial 16S ribosomal RNA". It matches the Rfam family "Bacterial small subunit ribosomal RNA", at positions 118 to 348 of the family's 1533-position model. The record is from RNAcentral.
UGAGCAAUCUGCCCUUCUCAUCGGAAUAAGCGUUGGAAACGACGUCUAAUGCCGAAUACGACCUCCUUUCGCAUGAUCGGAGGUGGAAAGCUCCGGCGGAGAAGGAUGAGCUCGCGGCCUAUCAGCUAGUUGGUGAGGUAACGGCUCACCAAGGCAUCGACGGGUAGCCGGCCUGAGAGGGUGACCGGCCACACUGGGACUGAGACACGGCCCAGACUCCGUAGGAGG